Molecule: non-coding RNA, 106 nt
Organism: Colletotrichum gloeosporioides
Lineage: Eukaryota; Fungi; Ascomycota; Sordariomycetes; Glomerellales; Glomerellaceae
Source: Rfam
GCUUCCGUGGCUCAGUUGGAAGAGCGUUGGUCUCAUAGAAACUGUUUAUGACUCUGCCCCAGGUGGAGAUAUCCAAAGGUCGCAAGUUCGAGCCUUGCCGGGAGCA